AAAGAGACUGCCCGGUGGUCAAAACCCGGGAGGGAAGGUGGGGAUGACGUCAAGUCCUCAUGGCCUUUAUGACCAGGGCUACACACGUACUACAAUGGCAGGUACAAAGGGCAGCCACUUAGCGAUAAGGCGCGAAUCCCAUAAAACCUGUCCCAGUCCGGAUUGGAGUCUGCAACUCGACUCCAUGAAGUUGGAAUCGCUAGUAAUCGCAGAUCAGCACGCUGCGGUGAAUACGUUCCCGGGCCUU
RNAcentral lists this ribosomal RNA (247 nucleotides) under uncultured Desulfocapsa sp. RNAcentral describes it as "partial 16S ribosomal RNA". It matches the Rfam family "Bacterial small subunit ribosomal RNA", at positions 1142 to 1382 of the family's 1533-position model. The record is from RNAcentral. Lineage: Bacteria; Pseudomonadati; Thermodesulfobacteriota; Desulfobulbia; Desulfobulbales; Desulfocapsaceae.